Molecule: ribosomal RNA, 253 nt
Filed under: uncultured bacterium
Lineage: Bacteria
Description: partial 16S ribosomal RNA
Rfam family: Bacterial small subunit ribosomal RNA
Source: RNAcentral
UACAGAGGGUGCGAGCGUUGUCCGGAAUCACUGGGCGUAAAGCGCGCGUAGGCGGCUUGGCAAGUCGGAUGUGAAAUCCCUCGGCUCAACCAAGGAAGUGCAUCCGAAACUGCUGAGCUUGAGUACUUAAGAGGAUCGCGGAAUUCCCGGUGUAGAGGUGAAAUUCGUAGAUAUCGGGAGGAACACCAGUGGCGAAGGCGGCGAUCUGGGAAGAUACUGACGCUGAGGUGCGAAAGCGUGGGGAGCAAACAGG